GGCUCAGGACGAACGCUGGCGGCACGCUUAACACAUGCAAGUCGAACGGAGAAUUUGGAUUUAUUCAUGAUUCUUAGUGGCGGACGGGUGAGUAACACGUGAGCAACCUGCCUCUGAGAGAGGGAUAGCUUCUGGAAACGGAUGGUAAUACCUCAUAAUAUAAUUGAACCGCAUGAUUUGAUUAUCAAAGAUUUAUCACUCAGAGAUGGGCUCGCGUCUGAUUAGAUAGUUGGUGAGGUAACGGCUCACCAAGUCGACGAUCAGUAGCCGGACUGAGAGGUUGAACGGCCACAUUGGGACUGAGACACGGCCCAGACUCCUACGGGAGGCAGCAGUGGGGAAUAUUGCACAAUGGGGGAAACCCUGAUGCAGCGAUGCCGCGUGGAGGAAGAAGGUUUUCGGAUUGUAAACUCCUGUCUUAAAGGACGAUAAUGACGGUACUUUAGGAGGAAGCUCCGGCUAACUACGUGCCAGCAGCCGC
RNAcentral lists this ribosomal RNA (481 nucleotides) under uncultured bacterium. Its description in RNAcentral is "bacterial SSU rRNA". It matches the Rfam family "Bacterial small subunit ribosomal RNA", at positions 21 to 518 of the family's 1533-position model. The record is from RNAcentral.